This 119-nucleotide non-coding RNA is filed under the name Cellulomonas sp. Its description in RNAcentral is "SAM-IV sequence". It matches the Rfam family "SAM (S-adenosyl methionine) riboswitch aptamer". From Rfam's summary of the family: SAM-IV is a mRNA element that regulates gene expression via direct sensing of S-adenosylmethionine (SAM or AdoMet). SAM-IV riboswitches share conserved nucleotide positions with the previously described SAM-I riboswitches sequence analysis and molecular recognition experiments suggest that SAM-I and SAM-IV riboswitches share similar ligand binding sites, but have different scaffolds. Lineage: Bacteria; Bacillati; Actinomycetota; Actinomycetes; Micrococcales; Cellulomonadaceae. The record is from RNAcentral.
GGUCAAGAGCGACCAGCGAUACGCCCUCCGCGUGCUGGUCCGGCAACCGCGCACACUCGCGCACGGUGCCCCCGGAGGAAGACCGGCCCGACGGCGACCGCCGUCGGGAAGUGCGAAGG